RNAcentral lists this transfer RNA (50 nucleotides) under Photinia serratifolia. RNAcentral's name for it is "partial tRNA-Xle". The record is from RNAcentral. Lineage: Eukaryota; Viridiplantae; Streptophyta; Magnoliopsida; Rosales; Rosaceae.
AGAAAUCGUGAGGGUUCGAGUCCCUCUAUCCCCAAAACGACCCGGUUGAC